RNAcentral lists this ribosomal RNA (254 nucleotides) under uncultured bacterium. Its description in RNAcentral is "partial 16S ribosomal RNA". It matches the Rfam family "Bacterial small subunit ribosomal RNA", at positions 524 to 776 of the family's 1533-position model. The record is from RNAcentral.
UACGUAGGGUGCGAGCGUUAAUCGGAAUUACUGGGCGUAAAGCGUGCGCAGGCGGUCUGUUAAGACCGAUGUGAAAUCCCCGGGCUUAACCUGGGAACUGCAUUGGUGACUGGCAGGCUUUGAGUGUGGCAGAGGGAGGUAGAAUUCCACGUGUAGCAGUGAAAUGCGUAGAGAUCCGGAGGAACACCGACGGCGUAGGCAGCGCCCUGGACGACACCUGACGCUGAGGCACGAAAGCUGGGGGAGCGAACAGG